GACGAACGCUGGCGGCGUGCUUAACACAUGCAAGUCGAACGGAAAGGCCCCCUUGUGGGGUACUCGAGUGGCGAACGGGUGAGUAACACGUGAGUAACCUACCCUUGACUUUGGGAUAACUUCAGGAAACUGGGGCUAAUACCGGAUAGGAGCUCCUGCUGCAUGGUGGGGGGGGGAAAGUUUCGGCGGUUGGGGAUGGACGCGCGGCUUAUCAGCUUGUUGGUGGGGUAGUGGCUCACCAAGGCUUUGACGGGUAGCCGGCCUGAGAGGGUGACCGGCCACAUUGGGACUGAGAUACGGCCCAGACUCCUACGGGAGGCAGCAGUGGGGAAUAUUGCACAAUGGGCGGAAGCCUGAUGCAGCAACGCCGCGUGCGGGAUGACGGCCUUCGGGUUGUAAACCGCUUUCGCCUGUGGCGAAGCGUGAGUGACGGUAAUGGGUAAAGAAGCACCGGCUAACUACGUG
RNAcentral lists this ribosomal RNA (465 nucleotides) under uncultured bacterium. RNAcentral's name for it is "partial 16S ribosomal RNA". It matches the Rfam family "Bacterial small subunit ribosomal RNA", at positions 28 to 507 of the family's 1533-position model. The record is from RNAcentral.